UUCACAAACGUAAAAAUUUUCGUCCCAAGAUCAGAAUUAUCUCCAAAUCCGCUGUUCUUGCAAGGCAGGGUGGAAUUCUUGAUGAUACAAUUUACCCCUCAAGAAAUUGAAAUCUAUG
Long non-coding RNA from Coffea eugenioides, 118 nucleotides. RefSeq lists it as uncharacterized. The record is from RefSeq and is a predicted model, not a curated record. The transcript is spliced from 2 exons. Lineage: Eukaryota; Viridiplantae; Streptophyta; Magnoliopsida; Gentianales; Rubiaceae.